This 497-nucleotide ribosomal RNA is filed under the name uncultured bacterium. RNAcentral's name for it is "partial 16S ribosomal RNA". It matches the Rfam family "Bacterial small subunit ribosomal RNA", at positions 28 to 507 of the family's 1533-position model. The record is from RNAcentral.
GAUGAACGCUGGCGGCGUGCCUAAUACAUGCAAGUCGAGCGAACAGACGAGGAGCUUGCUCCUCCGACGUUAGCGGCGGACGGGUGAGUAACACGUGGAUAACCUACCUAUAAGACUGGGAUAACUUCGGGAAACCGGAGCUAAUACCGGAUAAUAUAUUGAACCGCAUGGUUCAAUAGUGAAAGACGGUUUUGCUGUCACUUAUAGAUGGAUCCGCGCCGCAUUAGCUAGUUGGUAAGGUAACGGCUUACCAAGGCAACGAUGCGUAGCCGAACUGAGAGGGUGAUCAGCCACACUGGAACUGAGACACGGUCCAGACUCCUACGGGAGGCAGCAGUAGGGAAUCUUCCGCAAUGGGCGAAAGCCUGACGGAGCAACGCCGCGUGAGUGAUGAAGGUCUUCGGAUCGUAAAACUCUGUUAUUAGGGAAGAACAAAUGUGUAAGUAACUAUGCACGUCUUGACGGUACCUAAUCAGAAAGCCACGGCUAACUACGUG